This 277-nucleotide long non-coding RNA is filed under the name Lathyrus oleraceus (garden pea). Its description in RNAcentral is "Pisum sativum (pea) long non-coding RNA (PSAT_LNC018055)". The record is from RNAcentral. Lineage: Eukaryota; Viridiplantae; Streptophyta; Magnoliopsida; Fabales; Fabaceae.
GAUGGGGAGAUUGGAUCAAAUUUCCAUUUAAUGUGAGGAUUUGGAGUUGAUUGGAAGGAGGGUUUAAGAUUUGUUGCCUUAGAGUGAUAGCUUGAUCAACAUUACAUCAAGUAUUCUCCAUAAAUUCCAUCAUCAAGUUCAUUCUCUCGUUAUCAUUUUCAAGUGAUUCUAAGGUCAAGAGAAAGUGAGGAGCCAAAAUCAUCUCACCUCUUCUUGCAUGCGAAGAUUCUCUUGCAUUCUUGAAGAAGAACCACCAAUCAAGAAGUCAUGAUCAUCA